AGUCUAUUAUGUGGACAAUCUCUUACUAGCCUUUUGAAUCUCGCCUAUGCGUCACUUAAUGUUUCAUGCUCUUCCUGUUGAAAAUUUGUGAUUUCCCUUCUCCUUUU
This is a small nucleolar RNA of Benincasa hispida (wax gourd), 107 nucleotides long. NCBI's taxonomy places the organism in Eukaryota, Viridiplantae, Streptophyta, Magnoliopsida, Cucurbitales, Cucurbitaceae. The record is from RefSeq and is a predicted model, not a curated record.